Molecule: transfer RNA, 81 nt
Filed under: Treponema sp.
Lineage: Bacteria; Pseudomonadati; Spirochaetota; Spirochaetia; Treponematales; Treponemataceae
Description: tRNA-Leu
Rfam family: tRNA
About the family: Transfer RNA (tRNA) molecules are approximately 80 nucleotides in length. Their secondary structure includes four short double-helical elements and three loops (D, anti-codon, and T loops). Further hydrogen bonds mediate the characteristic L-shaped molecular structure. tRNAs have two regions of fundamental functional importance: the anti-codon, which is responsible for specific mRNA codon recognition, and the 3' end, to which the tRNAs corresponding amino acid is attached (by aminoacyl-tRNA synthetases). tRNAs cope with the degeneracy of the genetic code in two manners: having more than one tRNA (with a specific anti-codon) for a particular amino acid; and 'wobble' base-pairing, i.e. permitting non-standard base-pairing at the 3rd anti-codon position.
Source: RNAcentral
GCGAGAGUGGUGAAAUUGGUAGACACGCCAGAUUUAGGUUCUGGUGCCACAGGCAUAAGGGUUCGAUUCCCUUCUCUCGCA